UACGUAGGAGGCAAGCGUUGUCCGGAAUUACUGGGCGUAAAGCGCGUGUAGGUGGUGGGACAAGUCUGCUGUGAAAGCGCCUGGCUUAACCGGGCGAGGUCGGCGGAAACUGUCCGGCUAGAGGACGGUAGAGGGGGGUGGAAUUCCCGGUGUAGUGGUGAAAUGCGUAGAGAUCGGGAGGAACACCUGUGGCGAAGGCGGCCCCCUGGGCCGGCCCUGACACUGAGACGCGAAGGCGUGGGGAGCGAACGGG
RNAcentral lists this ribosomal RNA (253 nucleotides) under uncultured bacterium. RNAcentral describes it as "partial 16S ribosomal RNA". It matches the Rfam family "Bacterial small subunit ribosomal RNA", at positions 524 to 776 of the family's 1533-position model. The record is from RNAcentral.